RNAcentral lists this ribosomal RNA (340 nucleotides) under uncultured bacterium. RNAcentral describes it as "partial 16S ribosomal RNA". It matches the Rfam family "Bacterial small subunit ribosomal RNA", at positions 338 to 675 of the family's 1533-position model. The record is from RNAcentral.
CCUACGGGAGGCAGCAGUGAGGAAUAUUGGUCAAUGGGCGUAAGCCUGAACCAGCCAAGUCGCGUGAGGGAUGAAGGUUCUAUGGAUCGUAAACCUCUUUUAUAAGGGAAUAAAGUGUGGGACGUGUCCUAUUUUGUAUGUACCUUAUGAAUAAGGAUCGGCUAACUCCGUGCCAACAGCCGCGGUAAUACGGAGGAUCCGAGCGUUAUCCGGAUUUAUUGGGUUUAAAGGGUGCGUCGGCGGCCUUUUAAGUCAGCGGUGAAAGUCUGUGGCUCAACCAUAGAAGUGCCGUUGACACGGGGGGGCGUGAGUGUGUUUGAGGGAGGCGGAAUGCGGGGUG